Leptonychotes weddellii (Weddell seal) is the source of this 3555-nucleotide non-coding RNA. Lineage: Eukaryota; Metazoa; Chordata; Mammalia; Carnivora; Phocidae. The record is from RefSeq and is a predicted model, not a curated record.
CACGGGGGCGGUGCGCGAACCCCACGGCCGGAGGGGGCCCCGCCUCUAGGCGGGCCGGGCGAGGGGGAGCGCACCCCGACUUCCCUGGAUCACAUGGGCUGCGGGGGGCGGGUGGAUCGGGGGAGGGGGAGGCGCGGGGAGCUCGCGGCCGCUCCUCGCUCGGGCAGGGGAGAAGACGCCCCCCACCCCCUCUAGUUCGGCCUCUCCAUUCAAGUUCGCCGGCCCCGGCCGCCGGGAUCCGGAGAUGGCACCAGCCGCCCGCCCAGCCCUGCGCCCUUUUUCCAGCCACCGCGCAGAAAUUUAGGUCAAGGACGUCGGGAUCAAACCCAAACCGUGGCGCUCUUCGGCGGGCCCCGAGACCCCCCAGGAUCGGGGAGCUUCCGGAUUGAGGAGACCCUCCCGCACAAACAGCAGCCACAAGUUUUAUUUUCCUUUGGCGCUGGAAGUUCUCUCUGGCUCUGGCUCUGGCUCCACACCGGCACGUCUUGCGCCGCUCCCCGCCCUUCCCCGGCAGAGGAUUAGGACACAGUGGAAUACAUUCAACAGCAAAACUGUACCAGAUCCACUGUGGGUCGUGGCAAAGUGGAAUAUUUGGAAAAUCCCAACACUAGCCAAAGCCUUGGAUGACCAGAUUCUUAAUCUCCCUGCCUCCUACAUUUGGGAUAAUUCCUCACUGAUAGGAUUGAUGGGGUGAGAGGAGAGAUUGAAGUAAGACUUUGGGUUGUUGCAAUUUUUUGCUGUUAUGAGCAGCGCUAUAAUGAACAUUCUUGUCCUCUGGUGCUUUGUGGGCAAGAAUUUUUCUUUGGAGUGAUGACUGGGUCAUAAGUGGUUAUUUUAGAAUUUUCAACAUAUGCACUUGAUCCAACGCCACUACAACUAUACAAUAAGUUACCAAUUUGGUCUUGAUGAAAGGUGCCGGGGCCUGCAGGAGAAAAUGGCUCUGCCUUUCAACUCCACCUGGAAAUGGUUGACUCGGUGCCGCGGUCACCUUCCCUUACACCUCUGCACCCAUUUGGGCACUUGCCCCAUCCCCACCGCGCUCUGCCUUGCCGAACAGAAACCUCGGUGUCACAGCUGGAAACGUGCGGGGGCCGCUCCACCCAGGCCCCCUCACACACACCGCAGUUAUGUCUGGGACCUCCAAACAUUCCUCUAGGCUUUCACCGUCUAGCGUCCGAGCCCCAUCAGCUUGCCAGGUCGCCAGCAACCAGCUCCCAGCUCGACCCACAAAACCACCCGUUAGUUUGGACAAAUGUUGGGUCCACUUCUUGAAAAUCCUUAGCUGUUUCCCAUUUACCCAGUAUUAGAGGUGGCCAAAACAGCAAUAGGAAGCAUGGCUGUAGGGUCAUCCCGUCAUAUCUCUGGGUCUUCUGGAGGCCAACGGGACCGGAUCUGCUUCUGUGUGAGGAAUUCCAACUUUGGAGGACCGUGGGUAUGACGCCCUCUUCUGGUGGCUCUGGGGAACGCCUUCUUGCGCCCAUGCGUUUCAGUUCCCUCUGCUGGCGGAGGAGAGAGAAGCUGCCUCUCGCCUCCUGGCCCCAGAUGCCAGAGCUCCCGGGCCCUGCCGUCAAAUUGUGAGACCCAAGCGCCACAGAUCCUGAGGUUUCCGGAAGUUGAAACCGAGGCCCACGACGAUAGCCCCGCACUGCAAUUUAUACAGUUACCAGUUCCAAGUGGCUGAAAAACAAAUGAAGGGAAGGGUAAGAAAGGGAGAAAGCACUGUAACCUCCGAAGGGGGUUCAAAUAGGCCGAAAUCACAUCUAUGUAGCUACCCGUGGUAUGGACACACAGUGACAGAGGGAAGAAAGGAAUCAGAGAAAAGAUCAGGAGUGAGGACAAUAGAGGACAGACUUUACAGCGAAUUGCUGAGUAAGACACUCGUGCUAAAAAUAAUACCAUUUGGAGAGGGCAUAAGAAACAAAAGUGUGGCUGUGCCCAUGGGUGGGAGGAAGAAGAGGCUCUGCAUAUAAACACCCAGAAUUAGAACAAGAUGAAGAAAGGACCAUCACCCAAGCGGAGAAGGAAUGAACGUAAGAAUAAUUUGAAGUGAGCCAGGAAAUUAAUUCUGUCACCAUCCUCUUGCUUCUGUGGACCUGGUGAUGCUGGAGGCCCCCCAGCAGUGGAUGGCCACGCCUCUGGGUUUGAGCAGGCCCCAAGACCCCAUCACCCACUCAGCAGAUGCCACAUAAGAGACGAGGGCGAGCCCCGGCUUUGUAUCUUCUAGUCUGGAUCACAGAUAAUCAUGAACAUUCAAAAAAUCAAUUGCCCAAGUGGCUGAUGGGGAGGUCUGGCUUGACAGAAGGCGUUCACGAGGAAGACCCGGGGGGUUAGCUGAUCACAAGCUUGAUGUGAACCUACUUCGCAGGGAGGCUGUUGAGAACCCUAAUGCAAUCUCAGGCUCUAUUAAUAGAACGGCGGAGUGUGGAAGGAGGGAGGCCGUAAUCCCAGUGCGUGCUGGCAGGUCAGGCCACAUGCAGCUUUAUGCUCAGUCCUGCAGGCUAUAUUUUAAGAGAGGCACUGGCAAAUUCGAGCCUGUUCAGAAGAGCAUGAAAAGGACUGGAUGCCAGUAUGUAGACAGCACCGAGAUUAGCUUGACAGUCCUUUUACAACUGGCGAAAUCGGAAUGUGUAUUGCAUUGAAGACAGAAUCUCAGGAGCUAGGACUGAGAAUUGGGCUUUCAGUGUUUACUUAGCCUCCCUGAGCCUGAUGGGGUGCCCUUUCCAUAUAAUGGGGAUACUGCUCUCCCCCCAACCUACCUGCAAGCAUAGUUUGAAGGACAGUCUGCUCAGCGGGGCUUGUAUACUGAGCAUCUCCUUGCUGCCAACUCCCGGCCGGGCAUUAGAGCACCAACAGGAGCUUGGAGUCUAGUCUGUGUUGGAGACACAGGCCCAUCAGCAGGCAUCUUGCAUAUAACAUGACAGAUGAUAAUAGAUACAUGCACUGAUUUGCAAUGAGAUGUAAUUAAUAUCUUAUCAGGAAAGAAUGACAAGAGAGAAAAACAAAGUCUUCAGGGCAUAUGUACUUGUAAGUGCAAAGGGAAAAAACUGCUGGAGGCCAGAGAGGAGGAGAGUCCAUGAGUGAGGAAAGAUUAGAACUGGAAAAUUUCAGAGUCAUGAAAGACUGUUGAAAGGUCUCUACACUGUCAGGCACCACCAAGAAAUCCAGGAGGAAGAGGAGAAAAGUUGAAAUAUUUCCAGACCACUCCCUGGAUGUGGAGGUUAGGCGUUUCAUCCUUAGUGGUCAAGAAACACCUUUUGGGGAAAUGCUGGAGGCAGAGACGGACUUCAUUUAGGAUGUUUGUGGCAGGAUGCAUUUAUUGGACACCUACUGCACACUUAGCAUGGUGCUAUGCACUAUGGAAGUUGGAAAAGCAUAAGAUUUUGUUGGAGCCCACUUCAGUAGUGACUGGUGAGUUAAGAGUAACACGUAUACAUUCAUCAGCGAAGAGCAGAAGAUUAUUACACAAAUUGUUCAGCGGGGUAAGGCAGACAGUGGUUUAAAUGGCCAGUUGGGGGCGCCUGGGUGGCUCAGUCGGUUAAGCGACUGCCUUCGGCU